CAGCCGCCGCGGUAAUACAGAGGAUGCAAGCGUUAUCCGGGAUGAUUGGGCGUAAAGCGUCUGUAGGUGGCUUUUCAAGUCCGCUGUCAAAUCCCAGGGCUCAACCCUGGACAGGCGGUGGGAACUACCAAGCUGGAGUACGUUAGGGGCAGAGGGAAUUUCCGGUGGAGCGGUGAAAUGCGCUGAGAUCGGAAAGAACACCAACGGCGAAAGCACUCUGCUGGGCCGACACUGACACUGAGAGACGUAAGCUAGGGGGGCAAAUGGGAUUAGAUACCCCCGUAGUCCCUGUCUCUUAUAC
RNAcentral lists this ribosomal RNA (301 nucleotides) under uncultured bacterium. RNAcentral's name for it is "partial 16S ribosomal RNA". It matches the Rfam family "Bacterial small subunit ribosomal RNA", at positions 509 to 807 of the family's 1533-position model. The record is from RNAcentral.